UGGUAAUGCCGGAUGCUCCGACUCCUCGCAUGGGGUGUCGGGAAAGAUUUCAUCGGUAUGGGAUGGGGUCGCGUCCUAUCAGGUAGUCGGCGGGGUAACGGCCCACCGAGCCUACGACGGGUAGCCGGCCUGAGAGGGCGACCGGCCACAUUGGGACUGAGAUACGGCCCAGACUCCUACGGGAGGCAGCAGUGGGGAAUAUUGCACAAUGGGCGCAAGCCUGAUGCAGCGACGCCGCGUGCGGGAUGACGGCCUUCGGGUUGUAAACCGCUUUUGAUCGGGAGCAAGCCUUCGGGUGAGUGUACCUUUCGAAUAAGCACCGGCUAACUACGUGCCAGCAGCCGCGGUAAUACGUAGGGUGCAAGCGUUAUCCGGAAUUAUUGGGCGUAAAGGGCUCGUAGGCGGUUCGUCGCGUCCGGUGUGAAAGUCCAUCGCUUAACGGUGGAUCUGCGCCGGGUACGGGCGGGCUGGAGUGCGGUAGGGGAGACUGGAAUUCCCGGUGUAACGGUGGAAUGUGUAGAUA
This 523-nucleotide ribosomal RNA is filed under the name Bifidobacterium pseudocatenulatum. RNAcentral describes it as "bacterial SSU rRNA". It matches the Rfam family "Bacterial small subunit ribosomal RNA", at positions 161 to 696 of the family's 1533-position model. The record is from RNAcentral. Lineage: Bacteria; Bacillati; Actinomycetota; Actinomycetes; Bifidobacteriales; Bifidobacteriaceae.